Podarcis raffonei (Aeolian wall lizard) is the source of this 338-nucleotide long non-coding RNA. RefSeq lists it as uncharacterized. NCBI's taxonomy places the organism in Eukaryota, Metazoa, Chordata, Lepidosauria, Squamata, Lacertidae. The transcript has 3 exons. The record is from RefSeq and is a predicted model, not a curated record.
AAUGAAAACAAACUACAAAACAGGAGGCUAAAGUGGGUUUCUGACUCUAUUUUAAUGGCCCAUUACAACAAGCUAAUUAUUGGAACCUGUAACAGAGAGAUACGACUCUAUGAGCUCUCCAACUUGGAACCGUAUUGCCAAAUUGUGGCCCUUGAAACAAUGCCUCUGUGUUUGGAUUACAGUGUUCGGGGAGAAGGUGAAUGCGUGAUAUCAUAUGGUGAUGAGCAGGUAUGUUGAUAAGGUCUGGUAUGUUUUAAUUCAGAUAUAAACUGAGAAAAUGGUACAGCUAGAACUUACUGAGUUUUGCAGUUUGCUUCUAAGAAAGGUAUCCACAACUU